GAUGGACGCUGGCGGCGUGCCUAAUACAUGCAAGUCGAACGAGGUCUUCGGACCUAGUGGCGAACGGGUGAGUAACACGUUGGUACCUACCCCGAAGUGGGGAAUAACUGCCCGAAAGGGUGGCUAAUACCGCAUAAUACCGCAAGGUUAAAGCAGUAAUGCGCUUCGGGAGGGGCCUGCGUCCCAUUAGCUAGUUGGUAGGGUAAUGGCCUACCAAGGCGACGAUGGGUAGCUGGAUCGAGAGGUUGACCAGCCACACUGGGACUGAGAUACGGCCCAGACGCCUACGGGAGGCAGCAGUAAGGAAUCUUCCACAAUGGACGAAAGUCUGAUGGAGCAACGCCGCGUGCAGGAUGACGGCCUUCGGGUUGUAAACUGCUUUUAUACGGGAAGAUUAUGACGGUACCGUAUGAAUAAGGACCGGCUAACUACGUGCCAGCCGCCGCGGUAA
RNAcentral lists this ribosomal RNA (451 nucleotides) under uncultured bacterium. Its description in RNAcentral is "partial 16S ribosomal RNA". It matches the Rfam family "Bacterial small subunit ribosomal RNA", at positions 28 to 523 of the family's 1533-position model. The record is from RNAcentral.